GACGAACGCUGGCGGCGUGCCUAAUACAUGCAAGUUGAGCGCUGAAGGUUGGUACUUGUACCAACUGGAUGAGCAGCGAACGGGUGAGUAACGCGUGGGGGAUCUGCCUUUGAGCGGGGGACAACAUUUGGAAACGAAUGCUAAUACCGCAUAAAAACUUUAAACACAAGUUUUAAGUUUGAAAGAUGCAAUUGCAUCACUCAAAGAUGAUCCCGCGUUGUAUUAGCUAGUUGGUGAGGUAAAGGCUCACCAAGGCGAUGAUACAUAGCCGACCUGGGAGGGUGAUCGGCCACAUUGGGACUGGGACACGGCCCAAACUCCUACGGGAGGCAGCAGUAGGGAAUCUUCGGCAAUGGACGAAAGUCUGACCGAGCAACGCCGCGUGAGUGAAGAAGGUUUUCGGAUCGUAAAACUCUGUUGGUAGAGAAGAACGUUGGUGAGAGUGGAAAGCUCAUCAAGUGACGGUAACUACCCAGAAAGGGACGGCUAACUACGUG
RNAcentral lists this ribosomal RNA (497 nucleotides) under uncultured bacterium. RNAcentral describes it as "partial 16S ribosomal RNA". It matches the Rfam family "Bacterial small subunit ribosomal RNA", at positions 28 to 507 of the family's 1533-position model. The record is from RNAcentral.